CCCUUAGAUGUCCGGGGCCGCACGCGCGCUACACUGAAGGAAUCAGCGCGGCUUUCUCCCUGACCCGAAAGGGUUGGGAAACCCGUUGAAUCUCCUUCGUGAUAGGGAUUGGGGCUUGAAAUUGUUCCCCAUGAACGAGGAAUUCCCAGUAAGCGCGAGUCAUAAGCUCGCGUUGAUUACGUCCCUGCCCUUUGUACACACCGCCCGUCGCUACUACCGAUUGAACGGUUUAGUGAGGGCCUCGGAUUGGUCUCGGCCCGCUCUUUACCGGGCGGCGCCGUUGGUCGAGAAGACGCUCGAACUUGAUCGUUUAGAGGAAGUAAAAGUCGUAACA
RNAcentral lists this ribosomal RNA (334 nucleotides) under uncultured eukaryote. RNAcentral's name for it is "partial 18S ribosomal RNA". It matches the Rfam family "Eukaryotic small subunit ribosomal RNA", at positions 1470 to 1796 of the family's 1831-position model. The record is from RNAcentral.